Leptinotarsa decemlineata (Colorado potato beetle) is the source of this 999-nucleotide long non-coding RNA. Lineage: Eukaryota; Metazoa; Arthropoda; Insecta; Coleoptera; Chrysomelidae. The record is from RefSeq and is a predicted model, not a curated record.
UGUUAGUUUGCAAUGCAAUGCAGUUUAUCGAAUGUUAACAGUAUUCUCCAAAUGCAUAUUGUCGCAGUCAAUUAUUUCAAAUGAAUAAUGAUACACAACGUCAUUGUAUCAAAAGAUACCAAUGAUUGAUUUAUAUUGGUAUCCAAAUUGGGCAGCAGUGUGGAAUGGUAUGAAAUGGGUAUAGCGGAUUUGAAAUAUUGAACAAAUCAGGGUGCAGAAGCAAAGGCCUUAAUCUAUGAACUAUCUAUCUAUAAAGCAGUGAUAACAGUGAUAACAGUAACGGUUUAAAUUUCUGAAUUCAGAAGAAUCAGUCGAACCGCCGUGUAGGUUCGUUAUUAUAUCAGAAUAUUGCUGGGAUGGUGGAUUGUCUAUUAAGCAGGAGUAAAUAAAACCGAGGAGAUUUUCACGGUCAGGAUUUGGGAACGAUUCAGAUUAGUAUAUAUCGUAAAGCCGAUACGAAAGCAAGGUUCUACCUAGGGACUGACCGAAACCUAAAAACAUGUAAGGUUUUUUGGACAAGAAUAAUAAGAUCACCUGUGAAAUAUUGACGUCGAGCACUUUUCGACCUUUUAUUAAUUUUUUGGAGGUAAAAGAAGCAAACGUUCAAGACAUACUUUUCUGGUAAUUGGAGAAAUCUUUCGAAAAAGCUAUAGUUGCUUCAUACACGUCGUUCUUUGAGAUAUAAGUAGACAUUCUAGAAAGUACCAACGGAGAGCCAUAGAAUGAAGGACACGUUGUGGAGAUGGUCUUAGAUGUGUCUGGCUGCACUAAAAAACAUAAAUCUGAGGCGGCAUCUGAGGAGUGCACUAAACCCUAAGCAGGAGUCUACAUCAAAACAACACAACUCGCAAGCAUCACCAUGGCAACUAUUGCUGGGGGUUGACCGUGGCGCCUCUGGAUUUCUCCACGAGGCCACUACUUGAAAUCCUCGGUGGCUCAAAGGAGCUAUCGAAUCGUGGGAAACGGAGUUCAGUUGUGGUUUGGUUUUGGAAUUAGGAA